CCGGAAAAAGAGGAGUGGCGAACGGGUGAGUAACACGUGGGUAACCUGCCCAUCAGAAGGGGAUAACACUUGGAAACAGGUGCUAAUACCGUAUAACAAUCAAAACCGCAUGGUUUUGAUUUGAAAGGCGCUUUCGGGUGUCGCUGAUGGAUGGACCCGCGGUGCAUUAGCUAGUUGGUGAGGUAACGGCUCACCAAGGCCACGAUGCAUAGCCGACCUGAGAGGGUGAUCGGCCACAUUGGGACUGAGACACGGCCCAAACUCCUACGGGAGGCAGCAGUAGGGAAUCUUCGGCAAUGGACGAAAGUCUGACCGAGCAACGCCGCGUGAGUGAAGAAGGUUUUCGGAUCGUAAAACUCUGUUGUUAGAGAAGAACAAGGAUGAGAGUAACUGUUCAUCCCUUGACGGUAUCUAACCAGAAAGCCACGGCUAACUACGUGCCAGCAGCCGCGGUAAUACGUAGGUGGCAAGCGUUGUCCGGAUUUAUUGGGCGUAAAGCGAGCGCAGGCGGUUUCUUAAGUCUGAUGUGAAAGCCCCCGGCUCAACCGGGGAGGGUCAUUGGAAACUGGGAGACUUGAGUGCAGAAGAGGAGAGUGGAAUUCCAUGUGUAGCGGUGAAAUGCGUAGAUAUAUGGAGGAACACCAGUGGCGAAGGCGGCUCUCUGGUCUGUAACUGACGCUGAGGCUCGAAAGCGUGGGGAGCAAACAGGAUUAGAUACCCUGGUAGUCCACGCCGUAAACGAUGAGUGCUAAGUGUUGGAGGGUUUCCGCCCUUCAGUGCUGCAGCUAACGCAUUAAGCACUCCGCCUGGGGAGUACGACCGCAAGGUUGAAACUCAAAGGAAUUGACGGGGG
RNAcentral lists this ribosomal RNA (853 nucleotides) under Enterococcus sp. B04_26. RNAcentral describes it as "bacterial SSU rRNA". It matches the Rfam family "Bacterial small subunit ribosomal RNA", at positions 81 to 919 of the family's 1533-position model. The record is from RNAcentral. Lineage: Bacteria; Bacillati; Bacillota; Bacilli; Lactobacillales; Enterococcaceae.